UGUGGGAGCGGGCUUGCCCGCGAUAGCGUUGGAUCAGUCACCAUCAUUGUUGGAUGUGCAACCGCUAUCGCGGGCAAGCCCGCUCCCACA
RNAcentral lists this unclassified non-coding RNA (90 nucleotides) under Pseudomonas arsenicoxydans. The record is from RNAcentral. Lineage: Bacteria; Pseudomonadati; Pseudomonadota; Gammaproteobacteria; Pseudomonadales; Pseudomonadaceae.